Molecule: ribosomal RNA, 484 nt
Filed under: uncultured bacterium
Lineage: Bacteria
Description: partial 16S ribosomal RNA
Rfam family: Bacterial small subunit ribosomal RNA
Source: RNAcentral
GAUGAACGCUGGCGGCGUGCUUAACACAUGCAAGUCGAACGGUGAAGCAGGAGCUUGCUCUUGUGGAUCAGUGGCGAACGGGUGAGUAACACGUGAGCAACCUGCCCCUGACUCUGGGAUAAGCGCUGGAAACGGCGUCUAAUACUGGAUAUGUGAUGUGACCGCAUGGUCUGCAUCUGGAAAGAAUUUCGGUUGGGGAUGGGCUCGCGGCCUAUCAGCUUGUUGGUGAGGUAAUGGCUCACCAAGGCGUCGACGGGUAGCCGGCCUGAGAGGGUGGCCGGCCACACUGAGACUGAGACACGGCGCAGACUCCUACGGGAGGCAGCAGUGGAGAAUAUUGCACAAUGGGCGGAAGCCUGAUGCAGCAACGCCGCGUGAGGGAUGACGGCCUUCGGGUUGUAAACCUCUUUUAGCAGGGAAGAAGCGAAAGUGACGGUACCUGCAGAAAAAGCACCGGCUAACUACGUGCCAGCCGCCGCGGUAA